ACAACUUUCAACAACGGAUCUCUUGGCUCUCGCAUCGAUGAAGAACGCAGCGAAAUGCGAUAAGUAAUGUGAAGUGCAGAAUUCAGUGAAUCAUCGAAUCUUUGAACGCACCUUGCGCCCCUUGGUAUUCCGAGGGGCAUGCCUGUUUGAGUGUCAUUA
This 159-nucleotide ribosomal RNA is filed under the name Pleurotus tuber-regium. RNAcentral describes it as "5.8S ribosomal RNA". It matches the Rfam family "5.8S ribosomal RNA". From Rfam's summary of the family: 5.8S ribosomal RNA (5.8S rRNA) is a component of the large subunit of the eukaryotic ribosome. It is transcribed by RNA polymerase I as part of the 45S precursor that also contains 18S and 28S rRNA. Functionally, it is thought that 5.8S rRNA may be involved in ribosome translocation. Lineage: Eukaryota; Fungi; Basidiomycota; Agaricomycetes; Agaricales; Pleurotaceae. The record is from RNAcentral.